UAAUAGUCCUGCAUACUUAUGCCAUGAAAACGUAGAAUUUAAGGAUAAGGUAGGGUAAAUUUUACUCCAUUACAAUAUAGAUUUAAAUUUUAUAGCUCAUGGUAGAGUAGCUUAUUUAUC
Non-coding RNA from Bombyx mori (domestic silkworm), 120 nucleotides. NCBI's taxonomy places the organism in Eukaryota, Metazoa, Arthropoda, Insecta, Lepidoptera, Bombycidae. The record is from RefSeq and is marked provisional.